GAUGAACGCUAGCGAUAGGCUUAACACAUGCAAGUCGAGGGGCAGCAUGGUCUUAGCUUGCUAAGGCUGAUGGCGACCGGCGCACGGGUGCGUAACGCGUAUGCAACUUGCCUCACAGAGGGGGAUAACCCGUCGAAAGACGGACUAAUACCGCGUACACUCUAUGUUGGGCAUCCAAUGUAGAGGAAAUGAAAUUCGCUGUGAGAUAGGCAUGCGUCCCAUUAGCUAGUUGGUGAGGUAACGGCUCACCAAGGCGACGAUGGGUAGGGGAACUGAGAGGUUGAACCCCCACACUGGUACUGAGACACGGACCAGACUCCUACGGGAGGCAGCAGUGAGGAAUAUGGGUCAAUGGGCGAGAGCCUGAACCAGCCAAGUCGCGUGAAGGAUGACUGUCUUAUGGAUUGUAAACUUCUUUUAUACGGGAAUAACAAGAGUCACGUGUGGCUCCCUGCAUGUACCGUAUGAAUAAGCAUCGGCUAACUCCGUG
RNAcentral lists this ribosomal RNA (490 nucleotides) under uncultured bacterium. RNAcentral's name for it is "partial 16S ribosomal RNA". It matches the Rfam family "Bacterial small subunit ribosomal RNA", at positions 28 to 507 of the family's 1533-position model. The record is from RNAcentral.